AUACGGAGGGUGCAAGCGUUGUUCGGAAUCACUGGGCGUAAAGGGCGCGCAGGCGGUUUGGUAAGUCAGAUGUGAAAGCCCACGGCUCAACCGUGGAAGUGCAUUUGAAACUGUCAGACUUGAGUACUAGAGGGGAAAGUGGAAUUCCCGGUGUAGAGGUGAAAUACGUAGAUAUCGGGAGGAAUACCGGUGGCGAAGGCGACUUUCUGCCUAGAUACUGACGCUGAGGCGCGAAAGCGUGGGGAGCAAACAGGAUUAGAAACCCUAGUAGUCC
Molecule: ribosomal RNA, 274 nt
Filed under: uncultured bacterium
Lineage: Bacteria
Description: partial 16S ribosomal RNA
Rfam family: Bacterial small subunit ribosomal RNA
Source: RNAcentral